GGAGAGGUGCCGGAGUGGCCGAACGGGCUGGUUUCGAAAACCAGUGUAGGCCUUGGUCUACCGCGGGUUCGAAUCCCGCCCUCUCCGCCA
This 90-nucleotide transfer RNA is filed under the name Planctomycetota bacterium. Its description in RNAcentral is "tRNA-Ser". It matches the Rfam family "tRNA". From Rfam's summary of the family: Transfer RNA (tRNA) molecules are approximately 80 nucleotides in length. Their secondary structure includes four short double-helical elements and three loops (D, anti-codon, and T loops). The record is from RNAcentral. Lineage: Bacteria; Pseudomonadati; Planctomycetota.